AGUGGGAUUUUUGCUUUUUCUUCAGGAUUGGAUGGCAUGUUGUCCGUAUGAAUGCCUGCUGCAGGGCUGACCCUGGCAAUAUGGCAGCUUUCCCUUCUCAGUUACUACAGUUUCCAUGUCAAAGCAUAAUGUGUAGCAUAUUAGCAAUAACUACAUAUUUAUAGAAAAGGAACACUUUCACUUCACUGAGCCAAUUCAUUUAACUGUCUAAUGACUAUAUACGUGGUUUAAAUCGCAAUAUAUCUAUCAAUGUGUAUAUACCUAUGUAUACACAUUAUGUAUAAGCUUUUCUCUGGGCCAAACUGCUUCAUUCAAUUUUUUCUUUUCUUUUUUUUUUUUUUUUUUUGCCUUAUGAUGAAUUUGUUGGAAGGGCAUUUUCUUCACGAACAAAGGCUUUGAUGCAGACUCCUUUCUAUGUGAAGUGGGGAGCAUCGUUCCCUGAGGAAAAUUGCACAGUAAAAACCAGUCUAGUCGUGACCCACUACAUGUUUAUUGUUUUUAAAUCACUAGGACACAAGUCGCAUUUUACUGACAAUGUUUGUAAUCCGUUGCUUUGUGUAAUGAAGUUUGGUUGACGCCAUCCUUGCACUGCUGAGGUGAAGUCUUGUGGACUACUUAGCUUUUCGCUGAUCUCAGUAAGGACAGUGUGACGACAAAAGCAAAAUGGCUGGACAGACUUCUUGUGUUUUGUAAAUAUGAAAAGAUGACUGUUCUGUGUGUGUGUUCUGUGUGAUGGUGGAGCAUUUCCUUAAAGUGAAGCUUCACCUAAGCAGACAGAAUGAUUCUUUGUUUAGCAAGUUUAGAGUGAUAAGAAAAUGGUAAGAAAUAAUAUAAAUGUUGAAGAAAGCAUCACACAACAGAACUGUAGGAGUCCCAAUUUAAUAAACUGUCUUAAAAAAAAGGUGUCUAGAAUUACCAUGUUUUAUUAUUUAAAAUCAUUGUCUUAAGUUUUUUGUUUAAAAAAUAAAAAUUUGAAUACAAUCAAAACAUUAGCAAUAAUGUAUUUUUGUUUCCUGUCUUUCCUUUUAUUUUCUAUUUUUAUAAAUAAUCUAACCUCUUCCACCAUUCACGUCAGAAUUAUUAGGAGAAUUCUGUGAAGUGUUA
This 1104-nucleotide long non-coding RNA is filed under the name Equus asinus (donkey). Its description in RNAcentral is "lncRNA (ENSEASG00005036418.1)". Lineage: Eukaryota; Metazoa; Chordata; Mammalia; Perissodactyla; Equidae. The record is from RNAcentral.